This 795-nucleotide ribosomal RNA is filed under the name uncultured bacterium. RNAcentral's name for it is "bacterial SSU rRNA". It matches the Rfam family "Bacterial small subunit ribosomal RNA", at positions 8 to 796 of the family's 1533-position model. The record is from RNAcentral.
AGAGUUUGAUCAUGGCUCAGGAUGAACGCUAGCGGCAGGCUUAAUACAUGCAAGUCGUGGGGCAGCAUGGUGUAGCAAUACACUGAUGGCGACCGGCAAACGGGUGCGGAACACGUACGCAACCUUCCUUUAACUGGAGAAUAGCCCGGGGAAACCCGGAUUAAUACUCCGUAACAUUAUGAAGUGGCAUCACUUUAUAAUUAUAGCUCCGGCGGUUGAAGAUGGGCGUGCGUCUGAUUAGGUAGUUGGCGGGGUAACGGCCCACCAAGCCUACGAUCAGUAACUGGUGUGAGAGCACGACCAGUCACACGGGCACUGAGACACGGGCCCGACUCCUACGGGAGGCAGCAGUAAGGAAUAUUGGUCAAUAGACGCAAGUCUGAACCAGCCAUGCCGCGUGGAGGAUGAAGGUCCUCUGGAUUGUAAACUUCUUUUAUUUGGGAAGAAACCCCCGAUUUCUAUUGGGGUUGACGGUACCAGAUGAAUAAGCACCGGCUAACUCCGUGCCAGCAGCCGCGGUAAUACGGAGGGUGCAAGCGUUAUCCGGAUUCACUGGGUUUAAAGGGUGCGUAGGCGGGUUGGUAAGUCCGUGGUGAAAUCUCCAAGCUUAACUUGGAAACUGCCGUGGAUACUAUCAAUCUUGAAUAUAGUGGAGGUGAGCGGAAUAUGUCAUGUAGCGGUGAAAUGCUUAGAUAUGACAUAGAACACCCAUUGCGAAGGCAGCUCGCUACACUAUUAUUGACGCUGAGGCACGAAAGCGUGGGGAUCAAACAGGAUUAGAUACCCUAGUAGUCC